This 352-nucleotide ribosomal RNA is filed under the name uncultured bacterium. RNAcentral's name for it is "partial 16S ribosomal RNA". It matches the Rfam family "Bacterial small subunit ribosomal RNA", at positions 338 to 706 of the family's 1533-position model. The record is from RNAcentral.
CCUACGGGUGACAGCAGUGGGGAAUAUUGCACAAUGGGGGAAACCCUGAUGCAGCGACGCCGCGUGAGCGAGGAAGUAUUUCGGUAUGUAAAGCUCUAUCAGCAGGGACGAAAAAAGACGGUACCUGAUUAAGAAGCCCCGGUUAACUACGUGCCAGCAGCCGCGGUAAUACGUAGGGGGCAAGCGUUAUCCGGAUUUACUGGGGGUAAGGGGAGGGGAGACGGCAAGGCAGGCUAGAAGUGAAGGGGCAGGGCUAAACGCUGUACAUGCUUUUGGAACUGUGGUGCUAGAGGGCAGGGGAGUUAGGUGGAAUUCCUGGUGUAGCGGUGAAAUGCGUAGAUAUAAGGAGGAA